CCUACGGGAGGCAGCAGUGGGGAAUAUUGGACAAUGGGCGCAAGCCUGAUCCAGCCAUGCCGCGUGUGUGAAGAAGGCCUUCGGGUUGUAAAGCACUUUCAGUAGGGAGGAAGCGUUGAGUGUUAAUAGUACUCAGCGUUGACGUUACCUACAGAAGAAGCACCGGCUAACUCUGUGCCAGCAGCCGCGGUAAUACAGAGGGUGCAAGCGUUAAUCGGAAUUACUGGGCGUAAAGCGCACGUAGGCGGUUUUUUAAGUCAGAUGUGAAAGCCCCGGGCUCAACCUGGGAAUUGCAUUUGAAACUGGAAAACUAGAGUGUGUGAGAGGGGGGUAGAAUUCCAAGUGUAGCGGUGAAAUGCGUAGAGAUUUGGAGGAAUACCAGUGGCGAAGGCGGCCCCCUGGCACAACACUGACGCUCAGGUGCGAAAGCGUGGGGAGCAAACAGGAUUAGAUACCCUAGUAGUC
RNAcentral lists this ribosomal RNA (465 nucleotides) under uncultured Gammaproteobacteria bacterium. RNAcentral describes it as "bacterial SSU rRNA". It matches the Rfam family "Bacterial small subunit ribosomal RNA", at positions 338 to 795 of the family's 1533-position model. Lineage: Bacteria; Pseudomonadati; Pseudomonadota; Gammaproteobacteria. The record is from RNAcentral.